Molecule: ribosomal RNA, 230 nt
Filed under: uncultured bacterium
Lineage: Bacteria
Description: partial 16S ribosomal RNA
Rfam family: Bacterial small subunit ribosomal RNA
Source: RNAcentral
AAAGGGUGCGUAGGCGGCUUGUUAAGUCAGAGGUGAAAGGCGGUAGCUUAACUAUCGGAGUGCCUUUGAUACUGAUGAGCUUGAAUGCAGCUGAGGUAGGCGGAAUGUGACAAGUAGCGGUGAAAUGCAUAGAUAUGUCACAGAACACCGAUUGCGAAGGCAGCUUACUAAAGUGUGAUUGACGCUGAGGCACGAAAGCGUGGGGAUCAAACAGGAUUAGAUACCCUUGU